UUUGAUCAUGGCUCAGGACGAACGCUGGCGGCGUGCUUAACACAUGCAAGUCGAACGGAAAGGCCCUUUCGGGGGUACUCGAGUGGCGAACGGGUGAGUAACACGUGGGUGAUCUGCCCUGCACUUCGGGAUAAGCCUGGGAAACUGGGUCUAAUACCGGAUAUGACUACGCGAUGCAUGUCGUGUGGUGGAAAGCUUUUGCGGUGUGGGAUGGCCCGCGGCCUAUCAGCUUGUUGGUGAGGUUAUGGCUUACCAAGGCGACGACGGGUAGCCGGCCUGAGAGGGUGUCCGGCCACACUGGGACUGAGAUACGGCCCAGACUCUACGGGAGGCAGCAGUGGGGAAUAUUGCACAAUGGGCGCAAGCCUGAUGCAGCGACGCCGCGUGAGGGAUGACGGCUUCGGGUUGUAAACCUCUUUCAGUACAGACGAAGCGCAAGUGACGGUAUGUACAGAAGAAGCACCGGCCAACUACGUGCCAGCAGCCGCGGUAAUACGUAGGGUGCGAGCGUUGUCCGGAAUUACUGGGCGUAAAGAGCUCGUAGGUGGUUUGUCGCGUUGUUCGUGAAAACCUGAGGCUUAACCUCGGGCGUGCGGGCGAUACGGGCAGACUGGAGUACUGCAGGGGAGACUGGAAUUCCUGGUGUAGCGGUGGAAUGCGCAGAUAUCAGGAGGAACACCGGUGGCGAAGGCGGGUCUCUGGGC
Molecule: ribosomal RNA, 704 nt
Filed under: Corynebacterineae bacterium GWS-BW-H199
Lineage: Bacteria; Bacillati; Actinomycetota; Actinomycetes; Mycobacteriales; Corynebacteriaceae
Description: bacterial SSU rRNA
Rfam family: Bacterial small subunit ribosomal RNA
Source: RNAcentral